Haemorhous mexicanus (house finch) is the source of this 182-nucleotide long non-coding RNA. RefSeq lists it as uncharacterized. The transcript has 3 exons. The record is from RefSeq and is a predicted model, not a curated record. NCBI's taxonomy places the organism in Eukaryota, Metazoa, Chordata, Aves, Passeriformes, Fringillidae.
CGGCGGCAGCGGGCGGGAUGAGCGAGCGCAGCCCCCACGCCCCCCCCUCCGCGGCGGAGGCCCCCGGUGGGCAGCAGCAAGGCUGUCCCCAAGCGUGUCCCCGUCCCGUGUCCCCUCCCGGCAGCCAAGGCUGAGCCCAAGAAGGAGGAAGAGGAGGAGGAGGAGGAGAUCGACAUCGACCU